GGAUCCAGACUUUGAUCCUGGCUCAGGAUGAACGCUGGCGGCGUGCCUAACACAUGCAAGUCGAACGAUGAAACCGCCCCCGGGCGGACAUGAAGUGGCGAACGGGUGAGUAACACGUGACCGACCUGCCCCCCGCCCAGGGACAGCCCCCCGAAAGGGGGAUUAAUACCUGGUACUCCGGGAGCGGCGCAUGCCGCCCCCGGGAAAGCUCUGGCGGCGGGGGAUGGGGUCGCGGCCCAUCAGGUAGACGGCGGGGCAGAGGCCCACCGUGCCGACGACGGGUAGCCGGGUUGAGAGACCGACCGGCCACAUUGGGACUGAGAUACGGCCCAGACUCCUACGGGAGGCAGCAGUGGGGAAUUUUGCGCAAUGGGGGCAACCCUGACGCAGCAACGCCGCGUGCGGGACGAAGGCGUCCGCGUCGUAAACCGCUUUCAGCGGGGAACACCUAACGAGGGUACCCGCAGAAGAAGCCCCGGCUAAAUACGUGCCAGCAGCCGCGGUAAUACGUAUGGGGCGAGCGUUAUCCGGAUUCAUUGGGCGUAAAGCGCGCGUAGGCGGAGCGCUAAGCGGGACCUCUAACCCGAGGGCUCAACCCCCGGCCGGGUCCCGAACUGGCGCUCUCGAGUGCGGUAGGGGAGAGCGGAAUUCCCGGUGUAGCGGUGGAAUGCGCAGAUAUCGGGAAGAACACCGACGGCGAAGGCAGCUCUCUGGGCCGAAACUGACGCUGAGGCGCGAAAGCUGGGGGAGCGAACAGGAUUAGAUACCCUGGUAGUCCCAGCCGUAAACGAUGGGCGCUAGGUGUGGGGGAGCAGAUCCCCCGUGCCGCAGCCAACGCAUUAAGCGCCCCGCCUGGGGAGUACGGCCGCAAGGCUACAACUCAAAGGAAUUGACGG
This 896-nucleotide ribosomal RNA is filed under the name uncultured Bacteroidota bacterium. RNAcentral's name for it is "bacterial SSU rRNA". It matches the Rfam family "Bacterial small subunit ribosomal RNA", at positions 1 to 916 of the family's 1533-position model. Lineage: Bacteria; Pseudomonadati; Bacteroidota. The record is from RNAcentral.